This is a small nuclear RNA of Meriones unguiculatus (Mongolian gerbil), 104 nucleotides long. NCBI's taxonomy places the organism in Eukaryota, Metazoa, Chordata, Mammalia, Rodentia, Muridae. The record is from Ensembl.
GUGCUUGCCUCGGCAGCACAAAUACUAAAAUUGGAAGGAUACAGAGGGCAUCAGCAUGGCCCCUGUACAGGAUGAUACACAUUCGUGGCACGUUCCAUAGUUAA